CUUGCAAACUAAAGAUGGCGACCGGCGCACGGGUGAGUAACACGUAUCCAACCUGCCGAUAACUCGGGGAUAGCCUUUCGAAAGAAAGAUUAAUAUCCGAUAGUAUAUUAAAACCGCAUGGUUUUACUAUUAAAGAAUUUCGGUUAUCGAUGGGGAUGCGUUCCAUUAGGUUGUUGGCGGGGUAACGGCCCACCAAGCCUUCGAUGGAUAGGGGUUCUGAGAGGAAGGUCCCCCACAUUGGAACUGAGACACGGUCCAA
RNAcentral lists this ribosomal RNA (259 nucleotides) under uncultured bacterium. RNAcentral describes it as "partial 16S ribosomal RNA". It matches the Rfam family "Bacterial small subunit ribosomal RNA", at positions 74 to 334 of the family's 1533-position model. The record is from RNAcentral.